AUUGAACGCUGGCGGCAUGCUUUACACAUGCAAGUCGAACGGCAGCGCGGGCUUCGGCCUGGCGGCGAGUGGCGAACGGGUGAGUAAUGCAUCGGAACGUGCCCAGUAGUGGGGGAUAGCCGGGCGAAAGCCGGAUUAAUACCGCAUACGACCUGAGGGUGAAAGCGGGGGACCGAAAGGCCUCGCGCUAUUGGAGCGGCCGAUGUCGGAUUAGCUAGUUGGUGGGGUAAAGGCUUACCAAGGCGACGAUCCGUAGCUGGUCUGAGAGGACGACCAGCCACACUGGGACUGAGACACGGCCCAGACUCCUACGGGAGGCAGCAGUGGGGAAUUUUGGACAAUGGGGGCAACCCUGAUCCAGCCAUGCCGCGUGCGGGAAGAAGGCCUUCGGGUUGUAAACCGCUUUUGUUCGGGAAGAAAUCCUCUGGGCUAAUACCCCGGGGGGAUGACGGUACCGGAAGAAUAAGCACCGGCUAACUACGUG
RNAcentral lists this ribosomal RNA (484 nucleotides) under uncultured bacterium. Its description in RNAcentral is "partial 16S ribosomal RNA". It matches the Rfam family "Bacterial small subunit ribosomal RNA", at positions 28 to 507 of the family's 1533-position model. The record is from RNAcentral.